ACACGCAUGACACACUGCAUAUCAAUAAGCGGAGGAAAAGAAACUAACAAGGAUUCCCCUAGUAACGGCGAGUGAAGCGGGAAGAGCUCAAAUUUGAAAUCUUAAAGGGUUUCCCUUUACGAAUUGUAGUUUAAUAGAAGUGUUUUCUGUUAGUAGAGUGGCAAAAGUUCUUUGGAAUAGGACAUCAUAGAGGGUGAGAAUCCCGUAUUUGGUCAUUCUUUCUAGCUUUGUGAUACACUUUCAACGAGUCGGAUUGUUUGGGAAUGCAGUCCAAAAUGGGUGGUAAAUUUCAUCUAAAGCUAAAUAUUGGCGAGAGACCGAUAGCGAACAAGUACCGUGAGGGAAAGAUGAAAGGAACUUUGAAAAGAGAGUUAAACAGUACGUGAAAUUGUCAAAAGGGAAGCGUUUGACACCAGUGUUGUUUAGUUGAAAAUCAAUUAAAUAUUUUUCGAUUCUAAGUAGUAUUGACCUUAUCAGCUUGCUGCUUUUUCCUCGGAAAUUAUUUAAUGCACUUUUCAGUUAACAAGUCAACAUCAAUUUCUUUUGUUGUAAAAAGGUAAGAGGAAGGUGGCUUGCGCUUCGGCUCAAGUGUUUAUAGCCUUUUACCCCUGCAAUCGGAGAGAUUGAGGUCUGCAGCGUAGAUCCUUCGGGGUUAGAUACAUUUGUGCUAAGCUAUAGCCUUGUAUAGACAACUUGUUGACUAUGCUCAGUCAUGUAGCUUACUCGCUUAUGCUAUUUUACCUACGCUUAGGAUGUUGACGCAUGAGAUAUACGC
This 775-nucleotide ribosomal RNA is filed under the name uncultured Neocallimastigales. Its description in RNAcentral is "partial large subunit ribosomal RNA". It matches the Rfam family "Eukaryotic large subunit ribosomal RNA", at positions 23 to 647 of the family's 3401-position model. Lineage: Eukaryota; Fungi; Neocallimastigomycota; Neocallimastigomycetes; Neocallimastigales. The record is from RNAcentral.